AGAGUUUGAUCCUGGCUCAGGAUGAACGCUGGCGGCGUGCCUAACACAUGCAAGUCGAACGAAGCACGUCCCUCGAGGCCUUCGGGCGGAGAGGGGCAUGACUUAGUGGCGGACGGGUGAGUAACGCGUGGGUAACCUGCCCUAUACUGGGGGAUAACAGCUAGAAAUGGCUGCUAAUACCGCAUGAGCGCACAGUCCCGCAUGGGACAGUGUGGAAAACUCCGGUGGUAUAGGAUGGACCCGCGUCCGAUCAGCUGGUUGGUGGGGUAACGGCCCACCAAGGCGACGAUCGGUAGCCGACCUGAGAGGGUGACCGGCCACAUUGGGACUGAGACACGGCCCAAACUCCUACGGGAGGCAGCAGUGGGGGAUAUUGCACAAUGGGGGGAACCCUGAUGCAGCGACGCCGCGUGAGUGAAGGAGUACUCCGGUGUGUAAAGCUCUAUCAGCAGGGAAGAAGCAAGACGGUACCUGACCAAGAAGCCCCGGCUAACUACGUG
Molecule: ribosomal RNA, 500 nt
Filed under: uncultured Lachnospiraceae bacterium
Lineage: Bacteria; Bacillati; Bacillota; Clostridia; Lachnospirales; Lachnospiraceae
Description: bacterial SSU rRNA
Rfam family: Bacterial small subunit ribosomal RNA
Source: RNAcentral